Molecule: ribosomal RNA, 253 nt
Filed under: uncultured bacterium
Lineage: Bacteria
Description: partial 16S ribosomal RNA
Rfam family: Bacterial small subunit ribosomal RNA
Source: RNAcentral
UACGUAGGGGGCAAGCGUUAUCCGGAUUUACUGGGUGUAAAGGGAGCGUAGACGGCACGGCAAGCCUGAUGUGAAAGCCCGCGGCCCAACCGCGGGACUGCAAUGGGAACUACCGGGCUGGAGUGCCGGAGAGGUAGGCGGAAUUCCUAGUGUAGCGGUGAAAUGCGUAGAUAUUAGGAGGAACACCAGUGGCGAAGGCGGCCUACUGGACGGUGACUGACGCUGAGGCUCGAAAGCGUGGGGAGCAAACAGG